Molecule: ribosomal RNA, 450 nt
Filed under: uncultured bacterium
Lineage: Bacteria
Description: partial 16S ribosomal RNA
Rfam family: Bacterial small subunit ribosomal RNA
Source: RNAcentral
GUAGGGAAUUUUGGACAAUGGGCGCAAGCCUGAUCCAGCAAUGCCGCGUGCAGGAAGAAGGCCUUCGGGUUGUAAACUGCUUUUGUACGGAACGAAACGGUCCUGGUUAAUACCUGGGGCUAAUGACGGUACCGUAAGAAUAAGCACCGGCUAACUACGUGCCAGCAGCCGCGGUAAUACGUAGGGUGCGAGCGUUAAUCGGAAUUACUGGGCGUAAAGCGUGCGCAGGCGGUGCUGUAAGACAGGCGUGAAAUCCCCGGGCUCAACCUGGGAAUUGCACUUGUGACUGCAGUGCUGGAGUACGGCAGAGGGGGAUGGAAUUCCGCGUGUAGCAGUGAAAUGCGUAGAUAUGCGGAGGAACACCGAUGGCGAAGGCAGUCCCCUGGGCCUGUACUGACGCUCAUGCACGAAAGCGUGGGGAGCAAACAGGAUUAGAUACCCCUGUAGUCC